Molecule: ribosomal RNA, 443 nt
Filed under: uncultured bacterium
Lineage: Bacteria
Description: partial 16S ribosomal RNA
Rfam family: Bacterial small subunit ribosomal RNA
Source: RNAcentral
CCUACGGGAGGCAGCAGUGGGGAAUAUUGGGCAAUGGGCGCAAGCCUGACCCAGCAACGCCGCGUGAAGGAAGAAGGCUUUCGGGUUGUAAACUUCUUUUCUCAGGGACGAAGCAAGUGACGGUACCUGAGGAAUAAGCCACGGCUAACUACGUGCCAGCAGCCGCGGGAAUACGUAGGUGGCAAGCGUUAUCCGGAUUUACUGGGUGUAAAGGGCGUGUAGGCGGGAAAGCAAGUCAGAUGUGAAAACCAUGGGCUCAACCUGUGGCCUGCAGUUGAAACUGUUUUUCUUGAGUACUGGAGAGGCAGACGGAAUGCCUGGUGUAGCGGUGAAAUGCGUAGAUAUUAGGAGGAACACCAGUGGCGAAGGCGGUCUGCUGGACAGCAACUGACGCUGAGGCGCGAAAGCGUGGGGAGCAAACAGGAUUAGAUACCCGGGUAGUC